AGCAGCCGCGGUAAUUCCAGCUCCAAUAGCGUAUAUUAAAGUUGUUGCAGUUAAAAAGCUCGUAGUUGAAUUUCGGGAUUAGUACGCUGGUCAUGCCUUUGGUAUGUACUGGUGUUACUGGUUCCUACCUUCUGAAGAACCGUUAUGUCAUUAAUUUGGUGUGGCGGGGAAUCAGGGACUGUUACUUUGAAAAAAUUAGAGUAGUUUAAAGCAGGCUCGCGCUUGAAUACAUUAGCAUGGAAUAAUGAAAUAGGACGUUGAUCCUAUUUUGUUGGUUUCUAGGAUUGACGUAAUGAUUAAUAGGGAUAGUUGGGGGCAUUAGUAUUCAAUUGUCAGAGGUGAAAUUCUUGGAUUUAUUGAAGACUAACUACUGCGAAAGCAUUUGCCAAGGAUGUUUUCAUUAAUCAAGA
RNAcentral lists this ribosomal RNA (410 nucleotides) under uncultured Glomeromycotina. RNAcentral's name for it is "SSU rRNA". It matches the Rfam family "Eukaryotic small subunit ribosomal RNA", at positions 569 to 982 of the family's 1831-position model. Lineage: Eukaryota; Fungi; Glomeromycota. The record is from RNAcentral.